This 524-nucleotide ribosomal RNA is filed under the name Axinotarsus ruficollis. RNAcentral describes it as "partial 16S ribosomal RNA". The stretch from base 388 to 524 matches the Rfam family "Bacterial large subunit ribosomal RNA", at positions 2473 to 2610 of the family's 2925-position model. Lineage: Eukaryota; Metazoa; Arthropoda; Insecta; Coleoptera; Melyridae. The record is from RNAcentral.
CAUGUCCUUUUGAUUAUAAUUUAAGGUCUAAUCUGCCCACUGAAAUUUUAAAUGGCCGCAGUAAUUUGACUGUGCUAAGGUAGCAUAAUCAUUAGUUUUUUAAUUGAAAGCUGGAAUGAAUGAUUGGAUGAAAUAAAAACUGUCUCAAAUUUAUUUAAUUAGAAUUUUAUUUUUAAGUUAAAAAGCUUAAAUUUUAUUAAAAGACGAGAAGACCCUAUAGAGUUUUAUAUAAAAGAUUAUAUUUUAAUUAUUAUUUUAAAAAUUUAAUUUCAUUUUUUAUAUUUUGUUGGGGUGACAAAAAAAUUUAAUUAACUUUUUUUUUAUUUUUACAUUUAUAAAUGAAUAAUUGAUCCAUUAAUUAUGAUUAUAAGAUUAAAUUACCUUAGGGAUAACAGCGUAAUUUUUUUUAAGAGUUCAAAUCGAAAAAAAAGAUUGCGACCUCGAUGUUGGAUUAAAGUUUAAUUUUGGUGUAGCAGCUAAAAAUUUAAGUCUGUUCGACUUUUAAAACUUUACAUGAUCUGAGU